ACCCUAAAAAGUUCUAAAAGCAUAAAGGUUUGGUCCUAGCCUUAUUAUCAAUUGUCUCUUAACUUACACAUGCAAGUCUCAGCACCCCAGUGAGGAAGCCCUUCUCCCCUUCCCCAGGACGAGGAGCCGGUAUCAGGCGCAAUUUUUUGCCCACGACACCUAGUUCAACCACACCCCCAAGGGUAGUCAGCAGUGAUAAACAUUGUUUAUAAGCGACAGCUUGACCCAGUCAGAGAGAAGAAAGUUGGCCAACUCGGUGCCAGCCGCCGCGGUUAUACCUCAUGAACUUAAAUUGAUAGUAGUCGGCGUUAAGCGUGGUUAAAGGUUUUUAAUAAUUAGAGUUAAACAUCUGCCCCAGCUGUGAAAAGCACGCGUGAUUGAAAGCCACAAACGAAAGUUACUCUAAUAAAUUCUUGAACCCACGACAGUAGGAGAACAAACUGGG
This 445-nucleotide ribosomal RNA is filed under the name Minervarya cf. brevipalmata 030607-01. Its description in RNAcentral is "Fejervarya cf. brevipalmata 030607-01 partial 12S rRNA". Lineage: Eukaryota; Metazoa; Chordata; Amphibia; Anura; Dicroglossidae. The record is from RNAcentral.